UACGUAGGUGGCGAGCGUUGUCCGGAUUUAUUGGGUUUAAAGGGUGCGUAGGCGGCUUUGUAAGUCAGUGGUGAAAUACUCCAGCUUAACUGGAGGGGUGCCAUUGAUACUGCGGAGCUUGAGUACAGAUGAGGUAGGCGGAAUUGACGGUGUAGCGGUGAAAUGCAUAGAUAUCGUCAAGAACACCGAUAGCGAAGGCAGCUUACUGGGCUGUAACUGACGCUGAUGCACGAAAGUGUGGGGGAUCAAACAGG
Molecule: ribosomal RNA, 254 nt
Filed under: uncultured bacterium
Lineage: Bacteria
Description: partial 16S ribosomal RNA
Rfam family: Bacterial small subunit ribosomal RNA
Source: RNAcentral